CAGAGAACACUACAAACUGAUGUCCUGUGUUUGCAGAGCUGGAGAGCUGGAGGGGCUGGGGCAGCAGCUGCCUUCCCACCAUGCACAGCGACAGCGCUUCAUCCUUGCCCUGGGAGGCCGUUUCCCAGGAUGAGAGGAUAAUUCACUCGCUAUAGCCCAUUCAAUCUUCAGCCUCU
Molecule: small RNA, 176 nt
Filed under: Saimiri boliviensis boliviensis (Bolivian squirrel monkey)
Lineage: Eukaryota; Metazoa; Chordata; Mammalia; Primates; Cebidae
Description: TUC338 (ENSSBOG00000006412.1)
Source: RNAcentral